GACGAACGCUGGCGGCGUGCUUAACACAUGCAAGUCGAACGGAAAGGCCUGCUUUCCCUUGUGGAUUGCGGGUACUCGAGUGGCGAACGGGUGAGUAACACGUGAGUGAUCUGCCCCCAACUUGGGUAUAAGCCUGGGAAACUGGGUCUAAUUCCCGAUAGGACUGCAGGGUGGUGCCUGUGGUGGAAAACGAUUUUCUAGUGGUUGGGGAUGAGCUCGCGGCCUAUCAGCUUGUUGGUGGGGUAAUGGCCUACCAAGGCGGCGACGGGUAGCCGGCCUGGGAGGGUAGACGGCCACAUUAGGACUGAGAUACGGCCCAGAAUGCUACGGGAGGCAGCAGUGGGGAAUAUUGCACAAUGGGCGGAAGCCUGAUGCAGCGACGCCGCGUGGGGGAUGACGGCCUUCGGGUUGUAAACUCCUUUCGACCGCGAGGAAGCCACCUGGUUGGAAGGGUGGUGACGGUAGUGGUAGAAGAAGCACCGGCUAACUACGUG
Molecule: ribosomal RNA, 494 nt
Filed under: uncultured bacterium
Lineage: Bacteria
Description: partial 16S ribosomal RNA
Rfam family: Bacterial small subunit ribosomal RNA
Source: RNAcentral